This 404-nucleotide ribosomal RNA is filed under the name uncultured bacterium. Its description in RNAcentral is "partial 16S ribosomal RNA". It matches the Rfam family "Bacterial small subunit ribosomal RNA", at positions 28 to 526 of the family's 1533-position model. The record is from RNAcentral.
GACGAACGCUGGCGGCGUGCCUAAUACAUGCAAGUCGAACGCAGUGGGGACGGGUGAGUAACACGUGGGUAACCUCCCCAUCAGAGGGGAUACCACUUGGAAACAGGUGCUAAAACGAUACUGCUGGAUGGACCCGCGGUGCAUUAUCUAGUUGGUGAGGUAACGGCUCACCAAGUCCCCGAUGCAUAGCCGACCUGAGAGGGGGAGCGGCCACACUGGGACUGAGACACGGCCCAGACUCCUACGGGAGGCAGCAGUAGGGAAUCUUCGGCAAUGGACGAAAGUCUGACCGAGCAACGCAGCGGGAGUGAAGAAGGUUUUCGGAUCGUAAAGCGCUGUUGUUAAGGAAGCGGUACUUAACCAGAAAGGGACGGCUAACUACGUGCCAGCCGCCGCGGUAAUAC